AGACCCGAAACCCGGUGAUCUAGCCAUGGGCAGGUUGAAGGUUGGGUAACACUAACUGGAGGACCGAACCGACUAAUGUUGAAAAAUUAGCGGAUGACCUGUGGCUGGGGGUGAAAGGCCAAUCAAACCGGGAGAUAGCUGGUUCUCCCCGAAAGCUAUUUAGGUAGCGCCUCGUGAAUUCAUCUCCGGGGGUAGAGCACUGUUUCGGCUAGGGGGCCAUCCCGGCUUACCAACCCGAUGCAAACUGCGAAUACCGGAGAAUGUUAUCACGGGAGACACACGGCGGGUGCUAACGUCCGUCGUGAAGAGGGAAACAACCCAGACCGCCAGCUAAGGUCCCAAAGUCAUGGUUAAGUGGGAAACGAUGUGGGAAGGCCCAGACAGCCAGGAUGUUGGCUUAGAAGCAGCCAUCAUUUAAAGAAAGCGUAAUAGCUCACUGGUCGAGUCGGCCUGCGCGGAAGAUGUAACGGGGCUAAACCAUGCACCGAAGCUGCGGCAGCGACACUGUGUGUUGUUGGGUAGGGGAGCGUUCUGUAAGCCUGUGAAGGUGUGUCGUGAGGCAUGCUGGAGGUAUCAGAAGUGCGAAUGCUGACAUAAGUAACGAUAAAGCGGGUGAAAAGCCCGCUCGCCGGAAGACCAAGGGUUCCUGUCCAACGUUAAUCGGGGCAGGGUGAGUCGACCCCUAAGGCGAGGCCGAAAGGCGUAGUCGAUGGGAAACGGGUUAAUAUUCCCGUACUUGGUGUUACUGCGAAGGGGGGACGGAGAAGGCUAUGUUGGCCGGGCGACGGUUGUCCCGGUUUAAGCGUGUAGGUGUGUGUUCCAGGUAAAUCCGGUUCACUUUAACACUGAGGCGUGACGACGAGGCACUACGGUGCUGAAGCAACAAAUGCCCUGCUUCCAGGAAAAGCCUCUAAGCAUCAGGUAACAUCAAAUCGUACCCCAAACCGACACAGGUGGUCAGGUAGAGAAUACCAAGGCGCUUGAGAGAACUCGGGUGAAGGAACUAGGCAAAAUGGUGCCGUAACUUCGGGAGAAGGCACGCUGACACGUAGGUGAAGUGAUUUACUCAUGGAGCUGAAGUCAGUCGAAGAUACCAGCUGGCUGCAACUGUUUAUUAAAAACACAGCACUGUGCAAACACGAAAGUGGACGUAUACGGUGUGACGCCUGCCCGGUGCCGGAAGGUUAAUUGAUGGGGUCAGCGCAAGCGAAGCUCCUGAUCGAAGCCCCGGUAAACGGCGGCCGUAACUAUAACGGUCCUAAGGUAGCGAAAUUCCUUGUCGGGUAAGUUCCGACCUGCACGAAUGGCGUAAUGAUGGCCAGGCUGUCUCCACCCGAGACUCAGUGAAAUUGAACUCGCUGUGAAGAUGCAGUGUACCCGCGGCAAGACGGAAAGACCCCGUGAACCUUUACUAUAGCUUGACACUGAACAUUGAGCCUUGAUGUGUAGGAUAGGUGGGAGGCUUUGAAGUGUGGACGCCAGUCUGCAUGGAGCCGACCUUGAAAUACCACCCUUUAAUGUUUGAUGUUCUAACGUGGACCCGUGAUCCGGGUUGCGGACAGUGUCUGGUGGGUAGUUUGACUGGGGCGGUCUCCUCCUAAAGAGUAACGGAGGAGCACGAAGGUUGGCUAAUCCUGGUCGGACAUCAGGAGGUUAGUGCAAUGGCAUAAGCCAGCUUGACUGCGAGCGUGACGGCGCGAGCAGGUGCGAAAGCAGGUCAUAGUGAUCCGGUGGUUCUGAAUGGAAGGGCCAUCGCUCAACGGAUAAAAGGUACUCCGGGGAUAACAGGCUGAUACCGCCCAAGAGUUCAUAUCGACGGCGGUGUUUGGCACCUCGAUGUCGGCUCAUCACAUCCUGGGGCUGAAGUAGGUCCCAAGGGUAUGGCUGUUCGCCAUUUAAAGUGGUACGCGAGCUGGGUUUAGAACGUCGUGAGACAGUUCGGUCCCUAUCUGCCGUGGGCGCUGGAGAACUGAGGGGGGCUGCUCCUAGUACGAGAGGACCGGAGUGGACGCAUCACUGGUGUUCGGGUUGUCAUGCCAAUGGCACUGCCCGGUAGCUAC
Molecule: ribosomal RNA, 2060 nt
Filed under: Salmonella enterica subsp. enterica serovar Stanley
Lineage: Bacteria; Pseudomonadati; Pseudomonadota; Gammaproteobacteria; Enterobacterales; Enterobacteriaceae
Description: partial 23S ribosomal RNA
Rfam family: Bacterial large subunit ribosomal RNA
Source: RNAcentral